Molecule: long non-coding RNA, 266 nt
Filed under: Durio zibethinus
Lineage: Eukaryota; Viridiplantae; Streptophyta; Magnoliopsida; Malvales; Malvaceae
Description: long non-coding RNA (DZIB_LNC000528)
Source: RNAcentral
CCGGUGUCUCCUCGUUUUGUGGGAAAAAAAAAACCUGAAAAUUGAAUUGAUUUUUCUGUUUGGUCCAUGAUCGUCCGCUUUAUCAAAAUUGAUGGCUUGAAAGCUAAAUGAAGAUUAAAACAUGGAGAUGAAGAAGUGCAGCAAUUCAGCAAAGCAAACGAGAGGGGGCAAAUAACGUGGACAACAAAGAAGAUGCCAUGUGGUGUGGGUCCAACUUCCAUCAUUCCGUGAGGAGGGUUCGUUUUUGGGUGGUGGGGUCCACGGAG